UCCCAGACUCCUACGGGAGGCAGCAGUGGGGGAUAUUGCACAAUGGGGGAAACCCUGAUGCGGCGACGCCGCGUGUGGGAAGACGGUCCUCUGGAUUGUAAACCACUGUCCCCAGGGACGAAAAUGACGGUACCUGGGGAGGAAGCUCCGGCUAACUACGUGCCAGCAGCCGCGGUAAUACGUAGGUGGCAAGCGUUAUCCGGAUUUAUUGGGUGUAAAGGGCGUGUAGGCGGGAAUGCAAGUCAGAUGUGAAAACUCAGGGCUCAACCCUGAGCCUGCAUUUGAAACUGUAUUUCUUGAGUGCUGGAGAGGCAAUCGGAAUUCCGUGUGUAGCGGUGAAAUGCGUAGAUAUACGGAGGAACACCAGUGGCGAAGGCGGAUUGCUGGACAGUAACUGACGCUGAGGCGCGAAAGCGUGGGGAGCAAACAGGAUUAGAUACCCAUGUA
Molecule: ribosomal RNA, 447 nt
Filed under: uncultured bacterium
Lineage: Bacteria
Description: bacterial SSU rRNA
Rfam family: Bacterial small subunit ribosomal RNA
Source: RNAcentral